RNAcentral lists this ribosomal RNA (310 nucleotides) under Salmonella enterica. RNAcentral's name for it is "bacterial SSU rRNA". It matches the Rfam family "Bacterial small subunit ribosomal RNA", at positions 1 to 307 of the family's 1533-position model. RNAcentral also lists the same sequence under 1 other name. Lineage: Bacteria; Pseudomonadati; Pseudomonadota; Gammaproteobacteria; Enterobacterales; Enterobacteriaceae. The record is from RNAcentral.
AAAUUGAAGAGUUUGAUCAUGGCUCAGAUUGAACGCUGGCGGCAGGCCUAACACAUGCAAGUCGAACGGUAACAGGAAGCAGCUUGCUGCUUCGCUGACGAGUGGCGGACGGGUGAGUAAUGUCUGGGAAACUGCCUGAUGGAGGGGGAUAACUACUGGAAACGGUGGCUAAUACCGCAUAACGUCGCAAGACCAAAGAGGGGGACCUUCGGGCCUCUUGCCAUCAGAUGUGCCCAGAUGGGAUUAGCUAGUUGGUGAGGUAACGGCUCACCAAGGCGACGAUCCCUAGCUGGUCUGAGAGGAUGACCAG